AACGAACGCUGGCGGCAUGCCUAACACAUGCAAGUCGAACGAGACCUUCGGGUCUAGUGGCGCACGGGUGCGUAACGCGUGGGAACCUGCCCUUAGGUUCGGAAUAACUCCCCGAAAGGGGUGCUAAUACCGGAUAAUGUCUUCGGACCAAAGAUUUAUCGCCUUUGGAUGGGCCCGCGUUGGAUUAGCUAGUUGGUAGGGUAAAAGCCUACCAAGGCGACGAUCCAUAGCUGGUCUGGGAGGAUGAUCAGCCACACUGGGGCUGAGACACGGCCCAGACUCCUACGGGAAGCAGCAGUGGGGAAUAUUGGACAAUGGGCGAAAGCCUGAUCCAGCAAUGCCGCGUGAGUGAUGAAGGCCUUAGGGUUGUAAAGCUCUUUUACCCGGGAUGAUAAUGACAGUACCGGGAGAAUAAGCUCCGGCUAACUCCGUG
RNAcentral lists this ribosomal RNA (433 nucleotides) under uncultured bacterium. RNAcentral describes it as "partial 16S ribosomal RNA". It matches the Rfam family "Bacterial small subunit ribosomal RNA", at positions 29 to 507 of the family's 1533-position model. The record is from RNAcentral.